GCGCCCCGUCAAGCGCUGGGCGCCGCGAGGGCGACGUAGUC
This 41-nucleotide unclassified non-coding RNA is filed under the name Sorangium cellulosum So ce56. RNAcentral's name for it is "sce_s2m_64". Lineage: Bacteria; Pseudomonadati; Myxococcota; Polyangiales; Polyangiaceae. The record is from RNAcentral.